ACCUACGGGGGGCAGCAGUAGGGAAUCUUCCACAAUGGGCGAAAGCCUGAUGGAGCAACGCCGCGUGGGUGAAGAAGGUCUUCGGAUCGUAAAACCCUGUUGUUAGAGAAGAAAGUGCGUGAGAGUAACUGUUCACGUUUCGACGGUAUCUAACCAGAAAGCCACGGCUAACUACGUGCAGCAGCCGCGGUAAUACGUAGGUGGCAAGCGUUAUCCGGAUUUAUUGGGCGUAAAGGGAACGCAGGCGGUCUUUUAAGUUUGAUGUGAAAGCCUUCGGCUUAACCGGAGUAGUGCAUUGGAAACUG
Molecule: ribosomal RNA, 305 nt
Filed under: uncultured bacterium
Lineage: Bacteria
Description: bacterial SSU rRNA
Rfam family: Bacterial small subunit ribosomal RNA
Source: RNAcentral